GACGAACGCUGGCGGCGUGCUUAACACAUGCAAGUCGAACGGGCCCGCUCUCUUUUUUGGGGGUGGGUUGAGUGGCGAACGGGUGAGUAUCACGUGAGUAACCUGCCCCCUGCUCCUGGAUAACUGCUUGAAAGGGCGGCUAAUACGGGGUGUGCCGGCUGGUCCGCAUGGGCCUGGUCGGGAUAGUUUCAUCUUCGGGUGUUUCGGUGGGGGAUGGGCUCGCGGCCUAUCCGCUUGUUGGGGGGGUGAUGGCCCACCAAGGCGGUGACGGGUAGCCGGCCUGGGAGGGUGGGCGGCCACACUGGGACUGAGACACGGCCCAGACGCCGGCGGGAGGCAGCAGUGGGGGGUAUUGCACAAGGGGCGGAAGCCUGAUGCAGCGACGUCGCGUGAGGGAUGGAGGCCUUCGGGUUGGGAACCUCUUUCUCCGGUGGUGAAGGCCCUGUCCGUUGCGGCGGGGUUGACGGUAGCCGGGGAUGAAGCGCCGGCUAACUACGUG
RNAcentral lists this ribosomal RNA (499 nucleotides) under uncultured bacterium. RNAcentral's name for it is "partial 16S ribosomal RNA". It matches the Rfam family "Bacterial small subunit ribosomal RNA", at positions 28 to 507 of the family's 1533-position model. The record is from RNAcentral.